GUGCCAGCAGCGGCGGUAAUACGGAGGGUGCAAGCGUUAAUCGGAAUUACUGGGCGUAAAGCGCACGCAGGCGGUCUGUCAAGUCGGAUGUGAAAUCCCCGGGCUCAACCUGGGAACUGCAUUCGAAACUGGCAGGCUAGAGUCUUGUAGAGGGGGGUAGAAUUCCAGGUGUAGCGGUGAAAUGCGUAGAGAUCUGGAGGAAUACCGGUGGCGAAGGCGGCCCCUGGACAAAGACUGACGCUCAGGUGCGAAAGCGUGGGGAGCAAACAGGAUUAGAUACCCUGGUAGUCCACGCCGUAAACGAUGUCGAUUUGGAGGUUGUGCCCUUGAGCGUGGCUUCCGGAGCUAACGCGUUAAAUCGACCGCCUGGGGAGUACGGCCGCAAGGUUAAAACUCAAAUGAAAUUGACGGGGGCCCGCACAAAGCGGUGGAGCAUGUGGUUUAAUUCGAUGCAACGCGAAGAACCUUACCUGGUCUUGACAUCCACAGAACUUUCCAGAGAUGGAUUGGUGCCUUC
Molecule: ribosomal RNA, 517 nt
Filed under: uncultured Klebsiella sp.
Lineage: Bacteria; Pseudomonadati; Pseudomonadota; Gammaproteobacteria; Enterobacterales; Enterobacteriaceae
Description: bacterial SSU rRNA
Rfam family: Bacterial small subunit ribosomal RNA
Source: RNAcentral